This 75-nucleotide transfer RNA is filed under the name Solimonas aquatica. RNAcentral describes it as "tRNA_Lys_CTT". It matches the Rfam family "tRNA". Rfam says of the family: Transfer RNA (tRNA) molecules are approximately 80 nucleotides in length. The record is from RNAcentral. Lineage: Bacteria; Pseudomonadati; Pseudomonadota; Gammaproteobacteria; Nevskiales; Nevskiaceae. RNAcentral also lists the same sequence under 15 other names.
GGGCUGUUAGCUCAAUGGUAGAGCAGCUGACUCUUAAUCAGUAGGUUCGGGGUUCGAGUCCCUGACAGCCCACCA